Molecule: ribosomal RNA, 447 nt
Filed under: uncultured bacterium
Lineage: Bacteria
Description: bacterial SSU rRNA
Rfam family: Bacterial small subunit ribosomal RNA
Source: RNAcentral
UGGGGAAUAUUGGACAAUGGGCGAAAGCCUGAUCCAGCCAUGCCGCGUGAGUGACGAAGGCCUUAGGGUUGUAAAGCUCUUUUGGCGGGGAAGAUAAUGACGGUACCCGCAGAAUAAGCUCCGGCUAACUUCGUGCCAGCAGCCGCGGUAAUACGAAGGGAGCUAGCGUUGUUCGGAAUCACUGGGCGUAAAGCGCACGUAGGCGGAUUUGUCAGUCAGGGGUGAAAUCCCGGGGCUCAACCUCGGAACUGCCCUUGAUACAGCAAGUCUUGAGUUCGAGAGAGGUGGGUGGAAUUCCUAGUGUAGAGGUGAAAUUCGUAGAUAUUAGGAAGAACACCGGUGGCGAAGGCGGCCCACUGGCUCGAUACUGACGCUGAGGUGCGAAAGCGUGGGGAGCAAACAGGAUUAGAUACCCCGGUAGUCCCUGAGCGGGCUGGCAAGGCGCAU